Molecule: non-coding RNA, 266 nt
Organism: Malus domestica (apple)
Lineage: Eukaryota; Viridiplantae; Streptophyta; Magnoliopsida; Rosales; Rosaceae
Source: RefSeq, a predicted model, not a curated record
UUGGGAUAAUUCUUAGUUAUUAGAUAUUUAGAUAGUAUUAUAUGCGUGUUAGCGCAUGAGCCACACAUAGGAUUUUGAUUAAAAGCGGGUGGAGCUUAAGCAAGAAAGUUUGGAAUUGGAUUUUGAUGCCAUAUCAAUACUUCUGCACAAGUACAGCAGCUUUCGUGCAUAUGGCCAAUCAAAGCUUGCUAACAUUUUGCAUGCUAAUGAGCUUGCAAGACGCUUAAAGGAAGAAGGAGCAGAUAUAACCGCAAACUCGCUUCACC